GACCGGCGACCGCCGAAUCCCGGAAGUCAUCGAUCCCGGGAACCGGGGACCCACGUCUCCUGGGGUGAAUCCGGACCAUCCGGUAGGGCUACUCCUGGCCCGAACCCGUCAGCUAACCCGGUAGGCGGCCAAGGAGAGGAGAG
Molecule: small RNA, 143 nt
Filed under: Microbispora rosea
Lineage: Bacteria; Bacillati; Actinomycetota; Actinomycetes; Streptosporangiales; Streptosporangiaceae
Description: c-di-AMP sequence
Rfam family: c-di-AMP riboswitch aptamer (ydaO/yuaA leader)
About the family: This family represents a conserved RNA structure found upstream of the ydaO and yuaA genes in Bacillus subtilis and related genes in other bacteria. The ydaO/yuaA element is thought to act as a genetic "off" switch for the ydaO and yuaA genes in its native state.
Source: RNAcentral